UACGUAGGGCGCAAGCGUUGUCCGGAAUUAUUGGGCGUAAAGAGCUCGUAGGCGGCUUGUCACGUCGGAUGUGAAAGCCCGAGGCUUAACCUCGGGUCUGCAUUCGAUACGGGCUAGCUAGAGUGUGGUAGGGGAGAUCGGAAUUCCUGGUGUAGCGGUGAAAUGCGCAGAUAUCAGGAGGAACACCGGUGGCGAAGGCGGAUCUCUGGGCCGUAACUGACGCUGAGGAGCGAAAGCGUGGGGAGCAAACAGG
This 253-nucleotide ribosomal RNA is filed under the name uncultured bacterium. RNAcentral describes it as "partial 16S ribosomal RNA". It matches the Rfam family "Bacterial small subunit ribosomal RNA", at positions 524 to 776 of the family's 1533-position model. The record is from RNAcentral.